AGCGGCGGAUGGGUGAGUAACACGUGGGGAACCUGCCCCUAAGUCUGGGAUACCAUUUGGAAACAGGUGCUAAUACCGGAUAAUAAAGCAGAUCGCAUGAUCAGCUUUUGAAAGGCGGCGUAAGCUGUCGCUAAGGGAUGGCCCCGCGGUGCAUUAGCUAGUUGGUAAGGUAACGGCUUACCAAGGCGACGAUGCAUAGCCGAGUUGAGAGACUGAUCGGCCACAUUGGGACUGAGACACGGCCCAAACUCCUACGGGAGGCAGCAGUAGGGAAUCUUCCACAAUGGACGCAAGUCUGAUGGAGCAACGCCGCGUGAGUGAAGAAGGUUUUCGGAUCGUAAAGCUCUGUUGUUGGUGAAGAAGGAUAGAGGUAGUAACUGGCCUUUAUUUGACGGUAAUCAACCAGAAAGUCACGGCUAACUACGUGCCAGCAGCCGCGGUAAUACGUAGGUGGCAAGCGUUGUCCGGAUUUAUUGGGCGUAAAGCGAGCGCAGGCGGAAAAAUAAGUCUAAUGUGAAAGCCCUCGGCUUAACCGAGGAACUGCAUCGGAAACUGUUUUUCUUGAGUGCAGAAGAGGAGAGUGGAACUCCAUGUGUAGCGGUGGAAUGCGUAGAUAUAUGGAAGAACACCAGUGGCGAAGGCGGCUCUCUGGUCUGCAACUGACGCUGAGGCUCGAAAGCAUGGGUAGCGAACAGGAUUAGAUACCCUGGUAGCCCAUGCCGUAAACGAUGAGUGCUAAGUGU
Molecule: ribosomal RNA, 743 nt
Filed under: uncultured bacterium
Lineage: Bacteria
Description: bacterial SSU rRNA
Rfam family: Bacterial small subunit ribosomal RNA
Source: RNAcentral